GCUGGAAUAGCUCAGUCGGUAGAGCAGCUGAUUCGUAAUCAGCAGGUCGUCAGUUCAAGUCUGAUUUCCAGCUCCA
This 76-nucleotide transfer RNA is filed under the name Oscillospiraceae bacterium. Its description in RNAcentral is "tRNA-Thr". It matches the Rfam family "tRNA". Rfam says of the family: Transfer RNA (tRNA) molecules are approximately 80 nucleotides in length. Their secondary structure includes four short double-helical elements and three loops (D, anti-codon, and T loops). Further hydrogen bonds mediate the characteristic L-shaped molecular structure. tRNAs have two regions of fundamental functional importance: the anti-codon, which is responsible for specific mRNA codon recognition, and the 3' end, to which the tRNAs corresponding amino acid is attached (by aminoacyl-tRNA synthetases). tRNAs cope with the degeneracy of the genetic code in two manners: having more than one tRNA (with a specific anti-codon) for a particular amino acid; and 'wobble' base-pairing, i.e. permitting non-standard base-pairing at the 3rd anti-codon position. The record is from RNAcentral. Lineage: Bacteria; Bacillati; Bacillota; Clostridia; Eubacteriales; Oscillospiraceae. RNAcentral also lists the same sequence under 2 other names.